AGAGGUUGAUUCUGGCUCAGGAUGAACGCUGGCGGCGUGCUUAACACAUGCAAGUCGAACGGGAAAUAUUUCAUUGAGACUUCGGUGGAUUUGAUCUAUUUCUAGUGGCGGACGGGUGAGUAACGCGUGGGUAACCUGCCUUAUACAGGGGGAUAACAGUCAGAAAUGGCUGCUAAUACCGCAUAAGCGCACAGAGCUGCAUGGCUCAGUGUGAAAAACUCCGGUGGUAUAAGAUGGACCCGCGUUGGAUUAGCUAGUUGGUGGGGUAACGGCCCACCAAGGCGACGAUCCAUAGCCGGCCUGAGAGGGUGAACGGCCACAUUGGGACUGAGACACGGCCCAGACUCCUACGGGAGGCAGCAGUGGGGAAUAUUGCACAAUGGGGGAAACCCUGAUGCAGCGACGCCGCGUGAAGGAAGAAGUAUCUCGGUAUGUAAACUUCUAUCAGCAGGGAAGAUAGUGACGGUACCUGACUAAGAAGCCCCGGCUAACUACGUGCCAGCAGCCGCGGUAAUACGUAGGGGGCAAGCGUUAUCCGGAUUUACUGGGUGUAAAGGGAGCGUAGACGGUGUGGCAAGUUUGAUGUGAAAGGCAUGGGCUCAACCUGUGGACUGCAUUGGAAACUGUCGUACUUGAGUGCCGGAGGGGUAAGCGGAAUUCCUAGUGUAGCGGUGAAAUGCGUAGAUAUUAGGAGGAACACCA
Molecule: ribosomal RNA, 702 nt
Filed under: uncultured bacterium
Lineage: Bacteria
Description: bacterial SSU rRNA
Rfam family: Bacterial small subunit ribosomal RNA
Source: RNAcentral